This 1333-nucleotide ribosomal RNA is filed under the name Nocardiopsis sp. RNAcentral describes it as "bacterial SSU rRNA". It matches the Rfam family "Bacterial small subunit ribosomal RNA", at positions 104 to 1417 of the family's 1533-position model. The record is from RNAcentral. Lineage: Bacteria; Bacillati; Actinomycetota; Actinomycetes; Streptosporangiales; Nocardiopsidaceae.
GGGUGAGUAACACGUGAGCAACCUGCCCCCGACUCCGGGAUAAGCGGUGGAAACGCCGUCUAAUACCGGAUACGACCGGCCACCUCAUGGUAGCCGGUGGAAAGUUUUUCGGUUGGGGAUGGGCUCGCGGCCUAUCAGCUUGUUGGUGGGGUAAAGGCCUACCAAGGCGAUUACGGGUAGCCGGCCUGAGAGGGCGACCGGCCACACUGGGACUGAGACACGGCCCAGACUCCUGCGGGAGGCAGCAGUGGGGAAUAUUGCGCAAUGGGCGAAAGCCUGACGCAGCGACGCCGCGUGGGGGAUGACGGCCUUCGGGUUGUAAACCUCUUUUACCACCAACGCAGGCUCCCAGUUCUCUGGGGGUUGACGGUAGGUGGGGAAUAAGGACCGGCUAACUACGUGCCAGCAGCCGCGGUAAUACGUAGGGUCCGAGCGUUGUCCGGAAUUAUUGGGCGUAAAGAGCUCGUAGGCGGCGUGUCGCGUCUGCUGUGAAAGACCGGGGCUUAACUCCGGUUCUGCAGUGGAUACGGGCAUGCUAGAGGUAGGUAGGGGAGACUGGAAUUCCUGGUGUAGCGGUGAAAUGCGCAGAUAUCAGGAGGAACACCGGUGGCGAAGGCGGGUCUCUGGGCCUUACCUGACGCUGAGGAGCGAAAGCAUGGGGAGCGAACAGGAUUAGAUACCCUGGUAGUCCAUGCCGUAAACGUUGGGCGCUAGGUGUGGGGACUUUCCACGGUUUCCGCGCCGUAGCUAACGCAUUAAGCGCCCCGCCUGGGGAGUACGGCCGCAAGGCUAAAACUCAAAGGAAUUGACGGGGGGCCCGCACAAGCGGCGGAGCAUGUUGCUUAAUUCGACGCAACGCGAAGAACCUUUACCAAGGUUUGACAUCACCCGUGGACCUGCAGAGAUGUGGGGUCAUUUUAGUUGGUGGGUUGACAGGUGGGUGCAUGGCCUGUCGUCAGCUCGUGUCGUGAGAUUGUUGGGUUUAAGUCCCGCAAACGAGCGCAACCCCUUAUUCCACAUUGUUGCCAGCACGUAGUGGUGGGGACUCCAUGGGAGAACCUGCCGGGGUCAACUCGGAGGAAGGUGGGGACGACGUCAAGUCAUCAUGGCCCCUUAUGUCUUGGGCUGCAAACAUGGCCUACAAUGGCCGGUACAAUGGGCGUGCGAUACCGUAAGGUGGAGCGAAUCCCUAAAAGCCGGUCUCAGUUCGGAUUGGGGUCUGCAACUCGACCCCAUGAAGGUGGAGUCGCUAGUAAUCGCGGAUCAGCAACGCCGCGGUGAAUACGUUCCCGGGCCUUGUACACACCGCCCGUCACGUCAUGAAAGUCGGCAA